Molecule: ribosomal RNA, 453 nt
Filed under: uncultured bacterium
Lineage: Bacteria
Description: bacterial SSU rRNA
Rfam family: Bacterial small subunit ribosomal RNA
Source: RNAcentral
AGCGAACGCUGGCGGCAGGCUUAACACAUGCAAGUCGAACGCAUCCUUCGGGGUGAGUGGCAGACGGGUGAGUAACACGUGGGAACGUACCCUUCGGUUCGGAACAACCCUGGGAAACUAGGGCUAAUACCGGAUACGUCCGAGAGGAGAAAGGUUUAUCCGCCGAGGGAUCGGCCCGCGUCUGAUUAGCUUGUUGGUGAGGUAACGGCUCACCAAGGCGACGAUCAGUAGCUGGUCUGAGAGGAUGAUCAGCCACACUGGGACUGAGACACGGCCCAGACUCCUACGGGAGGCAGCAGUGGGGAAUAUUGGACAAUGGGCGCAAGCCUGAUCCAGCCAUGCCGCGUGAGUGAUGACGGCCUUAGGGUUGUAAAGCUCUUUUCUCCGGGACGAUAAUGACGGUACCGGAGGAAUAAGCCCCGGCUAACUUCGUGCCAGCCGCCGCAGUAACAC